Molecule: unclassified non-coding RNA, 306 nt
Filed under: plant metagenome
Description: partial contains 5.8S ribosomal RNA, internal transcribed spacer 2, and large subunit ribosomal RNA
Rfam family: 5.8S ribosomal RNA (bases 1-105)
Source: RNAcentral
GAAAUGCGAUAAGUAAUGUGAAUUGCAGAAUUCAGUGAAUCAUCGAAUCUUUGAACGCACAUUGCGCCCGCUAGUAUUCUGGCGGGCAUGCCUGUCCGAGCGUCAUUUCAACCAUCAAGCCCCCGGGCUUGUGUUGGGGACCUGCGGCUGCCCGCAGGCCCUGAAAACCAGUGGCGGGCUCGCUGUCACACCGAGCGUAGUAGCAAUCACCUCGCUCAGGGCGUGCUGCGGGUUCCGGCCGUUAAACAGCCUUACAAAACCCAAGGUUGACCUCGGAUCAGGUAGGAAGACCCGCUGAACUUAAGC